CCCCCGGCUGCUUUGCCGGUGGUCCCAGUGCACCACAGAGAAACCCUGGCACGGCGAGGCGCUGGAAAGGGAACGCCACGCUUGGUUCCUCCUUUUUUCCUUUCUUCUUUCUGGCGAGAAGGAAUGAAGUGCAGUGUGGGGCGAGCGGUUCCCGACGCACAUCGAACUGGUCAGCACACAUAUCACUUGUGUUUGGUACAGGUGGCGUGUUCUGAGGGUUUUAGCUCUCAGGUGUGAUGUUGUAGUGCUGUAAAGGAAUGCACGCCUACUAUGGAAAGCAAAUAGAUAAGAAGCGUACUUUCAGCCACACAGAAGCACGGGAGGGAAGGAAGGCCUGCACAUCUGUGGUGCAGUGCUCGUUUGCAGUACUAAUUACACUGAUGAAGGGUGAGGAGUGACGAGCCAGAAGCAGAGAAGAGUACAAAUCAGCAUGGCAUCCUCAAAGGGUAAGAGUCCAGUCUAUGUUAGCCAAGUACGAAAAAUUUCAAACUCCAUUUAAGCUAAUUAAGCAGUCAGCAGAUCGCCAGUGUGUAACUGAUCCGAGUAGGAAGAACGCUGUGCAAAAUGCAAAGCACCUGGUGCAGAUACCCCCAGCUGAAAGCAGUGGAGAAUUCGGUGCUUCAGAUCCCGUCCCUCUGCUCUCCGAUGAGCUGCCAGCAACUGGGGAAGGCUCUGUCCAGUUUUAGAAAGCAGAAAUCUUGGAAGUUGCACUGACUUUAUGUUGAUUUUACUUCUGAGUACGGGAGCUUCACACUGAAGGUCCUGUCCAUGCUGGAACAGAAAUUCAGCAUCCAGGAGAAGGCAAGAUUUUAAGCACAGCUCCAGGAUACUCACCCAGUUCUUAGGAAAAUCAGCAUAAAAUUCUGAAAGACCCUCAAGAUCAAGGACCGCAGUUUUUCAGUGCAUCUGCAGGGUGGCUUCCAAAGCAGCCUGGUGUCCGUCCACAGGUGUCAGUUCAAGCGUUGGCCCAACACAAAGGGCAAGGUGCUCACAUCUGAAUCCCUGCUCCGGUCUCCUGCACCAGCCAGGGUUUGUAGCAGCCUGGCCCUGCUUCGUGCCAGUCUCUGACCCGACCUCCACAGGAAAGCAGCAGAAACAAUUGGAUUUUUCCUGUCACCAUCAGUGCAAAGAAAGUGGCGUUUGUGCAAGUCAUGGUGGAUUGAUGAACGUUAUCUGAAGUGCAGCACGCAGUAGUGCGAUUCGUCAUAACUGAGGUUAAUGAAGGAGAAUGUUAAACAGCCUGUGACUGUAUGUCCAACAUAAUUUGCUAAAUUAACUGAAAAUCAACUACCAUUGUACUUCUAGCUACUCACUUAACUAUCAUUAACCCCAGUCACAAGCUGCGGUGUGGUGAUACCAGCAACCUGGAGGAAGAAUCAGGCAGCUGUCAGCAUGGCUCACGCUUGGCUGCAGCACGGCCUGGCUGUGGCCAGGUCCUGAGCUUCCCCCAGGCGGCACCGUCGGGUCCGUGUGAGCAGCAGGUGAGGCCGUGGUCUCUGCGUGACACCGAGCUUCACUUCGGGACAUCUGAACGUUUUGGCUCUGUGGUGCAACGCGGUACAGAUUGGUUGGCCCCGGCUCUGCGGGACUGCCCUGACCAGGGGUCAGCGAUCUGCUGUGAGGGUAAGGGAGAGGUGCGACGUGGCUGGAGAGAUGUAGAUUUGGACCUGGAUUGCAGGUUUCCUGUCCUGUAGCAGCUGGAAGCCUGCUAAAGCAGUGUACAGACUCUGUGCUGUCGUGCACCUCGCGUUCAGCUCUUGCCUUUGGAACUGGGCUGGCACAGAUGCUCAGCAGAGAUCAAUUCAAAAAUACGAGGAGUGCGUUUGCCACCUGACUGCAAAGUGACACCUGUGCUGGGGACCAAAUGAAGCUGCAGCUGAUAGGAACACUGCGGCUCUCGCCCAGCUGGAGCUCUGGCUGCCGUGCCCAAGUGAGCCCCGAGAGUUUCUUUGUGAGCUGAGCCCAAGCACGCCGCCUGCCGCACACCACGCUGUGAGGAGCAAGUGCUCUGCCGUCCCACACUAGCUGGAUGUUUUCAGGCAGUGGCCACCCCCAGCCCCAGUUUGCCCCAGCAGCACCGGUGCUUGCCCAGCACCAGGACCGCAGCCUGCUCCCAGAAAGGCAGAGCGAGACAAGGAUGGGUCACACCGGAUGGGCUGGGGAAGAGAAAAGGAGAAAGACGACUUCCAUCAUCGUCCUGUCUGACUGGGAACCAUCAUGGAGACAUCAGUGAUGCCAAGCGACAGUCAGUCCCUGAGUUUACAGCACACAGAGUCAAUUAAGUUCUACACAGUGCCCAGCACUUCCUACUAAAAUUGUGUCACCCUGAUGAUCACAGGAGUCCGGUGCACGUCUCGCUCGUCUGCAUGUCAGAAGGCAGACUGCUCACCGGCAGAGGGUGGAUAUCGGAAUUUCCCUGUGAGGCCAUUAAACACGGCUGCUGAUUUUUUUAUUUUUUUUUCCCCAAGGAAAAGCUCGCAAUGUAUAGGUUUUAACUUGCUUAAUGAAGCAUGAGAAUUGAACGGUAAUAGCUGUUCUUUGAAAGUCUGGAAAAUGAUGCAAAUCUGUUAGGAUCAAUGUAUUGUCUACUAGGAAAUAAUCUGUUUCUGAAAGAAGUUGGUGAUUUGUUCUUAUUGUCCUAUGAAAUUAGAAAAUAUUACUAUUUAUGAAGCACGUUUAUAAAACGUGCACUCUACUUUUAAAGAGUUGGCUUAAGGGCAUUUACUAAAAGCCAGAUUUAUCAAAUAAGGCACAUGUAGCUGCAUUACAAACCAACUUCACUUAAAAACAGAUUUGAGAAGUAAUGUAGUAUGUAGGUUGUAAAGCUCUACUGGAAGGGAAACAUAGCUGCUUAAAGAACAAAAUGCUGCUCUUAAGCCUGGGUGGGUGGUGGUUUAGCCUGUAAUUCAAUUGCGUUCCCAUAAAAUGUUUUAUUGGAAUGAUGCUGGUCAUGGAGGUGACUGACAGCGGUGGCUUUUGCAGAGACUCCCAAAUUGUUGUUGUGAUAUCUGUCUUACAGUGCCAUUCUGUGUAAGCGAAACAAGAUAGGAAGUUUUAUAUUUUCUCUGCAGAGGAAGACAGCAGAAUAUUUCCCAAGCCUGUUGUGCGGUGCAAGAACAAGAGCAGGUAUGAGUGUUUGGUUUUUGGGGGUGGGUGGUUUGCAGAACUGAGGUUUUUUUCAUAGUAAAAUUCUGAAUCAGUUUGGCAGAGGUGUUUACCUCUGAGCCUAGGUUUGCUUUCGGUGUUCUUCCAUAGAUACUCCUCCUCAGCUAGUUCCAGCGUCCCAUGUGAGAUCCUUCAAAAAUCCUGGUUCUGGAACAGCUCUGUGACUUUGCAGAAUUUGGUCUGCUGCAAGUGAAGAGUGAUAACUGAGCAGCUAAGCAGGAGCACACAUUUUUUAUGAGCGUUCAAGUAGAUCUAUAUCCUAAUAGGAAAUCAAUGUUCAGGUCACAAGGUGGAACAGGACAAUGGGAUCUUAAAUCACACGGGAAAUAAAAAUUAAAAGUCGCAGUGGACAAUGGGAUAUAAUUUAGGAUUUUGCUGCAGUCAGAGAUGGUGUAUCACCAAAAUUGCUCACCAUUGUCCUAUGUCGUAGUGUCAAAAUCCACGCCAAGCUCUUACAUAUCCAGUUGACUUCUAUCAGGAGAAGAGUAAAAUGGAAACGUUGUAAUGGAUUAGAGAAAGCCGAAUAAGCUCAUGCCUCUCAGUGUGAGCCCGUGACACGUCAGAGCUAGCAGAAUAUUUCACUGUGCAGGUUAUUAAAAAUGAGAAAAUUGUAUACAGUGUAAAGUUUGAUCUUGAUUGAUUGUGUAUGCUUAGAGCUAAGUCAGGUCGAUCCGAGCCACUGCAUUGAAAAAGCAGUGACUUGACAAGAAUUGCGUGGAUUGCCAACAUGCUCAAAACUGUUUUCACUAGUUUACUAAAAUAAAUACCUCAGCCCUGCCAAAACGCAUUAAAGGUGAAGUGAGUCAGCACUAAGGCAAAUGCAAUGGAAGCUGCCUUGCAGGCAGCGUGCAGCAGCCCUGGUGCAGCCGGACGGUCGGCAGGCAUUGCCGUCCCCAUGAAGGGGAUGCUCCGGCCAAGUGGCCACAGCCCCGCAGCCGCCUGCCCGGCUCGGCCACUGUGCUGCCACGGCCGGGGCAGCCCGCAGAGCUGCCAGGGGUCUCGGCUGCUUCCCCGCACGCUGCCCUGAGCCGAGGUGGCAAAAGCACCACACUUUCUCCUUCUCAGGUCGAUUUGCUGUUCGCUUUUUCUUUUUUCUUUUACUGAGUCAAGGCAUCUGUGUCAAAAUGAUCCCAUUUGAAGUUUGUUGAAUUUGCAUCAGCUGCAGCUCCUGUGGGAAAAUCACAGCUGCUUAUAUAUGCAUAUGCACACAGAGAUAUAAAAAAUAAUAGAAGCGUUGAGACACGGCAAUGGGAUUUUAAUUCACUUGGAUGGGGACCAAGAUCUGUCCAUGUCCAUCUCCCCCCGAUAUAUCUAUGUGUAUUUAACGGGAAAGUGUGUCAGGGAGUCCUUUCAUGGUUCAUCUGGGAUUCUGCUUUGUACAAAUACCUCUCAUCACACAGAAUACCGAACGAUUUCUUAGAGAAACUCCCUCUUUGGAGAGGCAGGAAAUAGCCAGUGUUGUAUUUUAAAUAACCUCCACUGAGGCUCUUUCUCACCUACGUGCUACAGAUCUCUGAAGUGGAACAGAUGGUGUCCAGUCCUGCAGUGUCAUCUGCCUGCAUGCACUCAUCUUAAGUGGAUUUAGGCUAGACUUCUGUUUUCUUUUUUCCUUUCUUUGCAUGCUGAGCAAGAAAUGGGGAAGGGAGAAAAAUGAAACAUAAAAGGCAGAUGCUGGUAACAGAGCAGAAGUGAGAGUUAUAAAAAUGUCACAGACAUCUGCAGAACUGCACUUAGUGGAAAACUUCACCAUUGCAGCAAAAUUGCCCGCAAAUGACCUGUGCAACAAGAUGAAGUGCAAGGGUCUGCUCACUGGAAGAGUAGCCCCGUUACAGCCCCAGGACGCGGCACUGUGUGUGUGGCAGGUCGGGAUGCUGUCAAAGGGACCUCAUGAUGCAGUGCACUGAACUCCUACCAAGUCCAGGAGUAUCAAACAGAGCAGGAACAACAACCCUGCCCGUUCCUUGGUGCCAUUACAAUUAAAUCUGGUCAGGGCCUUUCUAGCUACUGGAGGGCAGGA
Molecule: long non-coding RNA, 5182 nt
Organism: Cygnus olor (mute swan)
Lineage: Eukaryota; Metazoa; Chordata; Aves; Anseriformes; Anatidae
Exons: 4
Source: RefSeq, a predicted model, not a curated record